RNAcentral lists this ribosomal RNA (620 nucleotides) under uncultured bacterium. RNAcentral describes it as "bacterial SSU rRNA". The stretch from base 1 to 534 matches the Rfam family "Bacterial small subunit ribosomal RNA", at positions 338 to 873 of the family's 1533-position model. The record is from RNAcentral.
CCUACGGGAGGCAGCAGUAGGGAAUAUUGGACAAUGGGUGCGAGCCUGAUCCAGCCAUGCCGCGUGCAGGAAGAAGGCCUUCUGGGUUGUAAACUGCUUUUGCCGGGGGAUAAAAGACCCAUGCGUGGGGAAUUGAAGGUACCCGGUGAAUAAGCCACGGCUAACUACGUGCCAGCAGCCGCGGUAAUACGUAGGUGGCGAGCGUUGUCCGGAUUUAUUGGGUUUAAAGGGUGCGUAGGCGGCCCCGUAAGUCAGUGGUGAAAUACGGCAGCUCAACUGUCGAGGUGCCAUUGAUACUGCGGGGCUUGAGUACAGUCGAGGUAGGCGGAAUUGACGGUGUAGCGGUGAAAUGCUUAGAUAUCGUCAAGAACACCGAUAGCGAAGGCAGCUUGCUAGGCUGUAACUGACGCUGAGGCACGAAAGUGCGGGGAUCAAACAGGAUUAGAUACCCUGGUAGUCCGCACAGUAAACGAUGGUCACUCGGUGUUGGCGGUACACGGCCAGCGUCUAGACGAAGUCGUUAAGUCGACCGACGUGGGAGUACCGCCGACGAGGUAAGAACGUACGAAAGAGUAGUUAGUUACGGCGNGAGACGNGCGACGACGACGACGAGGAGGAGG